UUUUGUCAUAUGUCCUAUUCUAGAGAGAGCAGAGAGAACUUUCACACUCAACUGACAAGCAACAGUACAAAUGGUCCAGUUGAAAGCCAGAGAGGAAGGGAAUCCCCUGAUGUUGAAACCGGUCACCCUCUAAGGCAAGAGCAGAAUGGAAAAUGUGGAGAAUGGAUCAGAUGGAAUUCAGAUGGAGCACAGCAGGAGUGGCUGUUUCUGCCCGGAGCCAAAAUCAUUUGAAAGCUUAUUCCUUCUACAUCUGGGCUCGGACUGGGGAAAUUCGAAGACCAGAACUGCUGACUGAAGCAUUCAGUGGCUUCUUGGUGUGACCUGGACCAUGGUGGCCUCAGAGUAGUGAAACUUCUUCUACGGUAGUUCAGAACUCGUGUGUGAGUUCUAUCAAACAAGACAGCUGCCUUGC
This is a long non-coding RNA of Sciurus carolinensis (gray squirrel), 412 nucleotides long. RefSeq lists it as uncharacterized. The transcript has 3 exons. The record is from RefSeq and is a predicted model, not a curated record. NCBI's taxonomy places the organism in Eukaryota, Metazoa, Chordata, Mammalia, Rodentia, Sciuridae.